Molecule: unclassified non-coding RNA, 384 nt
Filed under: uncultured bacterium
Lineage: Bacteria
Description: contains 16S-23S intergenic spacer region
Source: RNAcentral
UCCGAGUUGACCCCGGCAGUCUCCUAUGAGUCCCCGCCAUAACGCGCUGGCAACAUAGAACGAGGGUUGCGCUCGUUGCGGGACUUAACCCAACACCUCACGGCACGAGCUGACGACAGCCAUGCAGCACCUGUGAUCGUUCCCGACUUUACGGGUCGUCCCCCUUUCGGGUUCCUACUACGACCAUGUCAAGCCUAGGUGAGGUUCUUCGCGUUGCAUCGAAUUAAACCACAUCAUCCACCGCUUGUGCGGGCCCCCGUCAAUUCCUUUGAGUUUCAGCCUUGCGGCCGUACUCCCCAGGCGGGGCACUUAAUGCGUUAGCGACGGCACCCAGGGGGUCGCUCCCCCAGGCACCUAGUGCCCAUCGUUUACGGCGUGGACUAC